GACGAACGCUGGCGGCGUGCUUAACACAUGCAAGUCGAACGAUGAAGAAGAGAAACGCGAACUUCGGUUCAAAUUUCACUUCGGAUUAGUGGCAGACGGGUGAGUAACGCGUGAGCAACCUACCUCUUACAAAGGGAUAGCCUCGGGAAACCGUGAUUAAUACCAUAUGACACAUUCAUAAGGCAUCUUAAGAAUGUUAAAGCUACGGCGGUAAGAGAUGGGCUCGUGUCCCAUUAGCUAGUUGGUGAGGUAACGGCCCACCAAGGCGACGAUGGGUAACCGGCCUGAGAGGGUGAACGGUCACAUUGGAACUGAGACACGGUCCAAACUCCUACGGGAGACAGCAGUGGGGAAUAUUGCACAAUGGAGGGAACUCUGAUGCAGCGACGCCGCGUGAGCGAUGAAGGAAUUCGUUUCGUAAAGCUCUGUUCUAUGGGAAGAAAAGGACUGUACCAUAGGAGAAAGCCCCGGCUAAAUACGUG
This 482-nucleotide ribosomal RNA is filed under the name uncultured bacterium. RNAcentral's name for it is "partial 16S ribosomal RNA". It matches the Rfam family "Bacterial small subunit ribosomal RNA", at positions 28 to 507 of the family's 1533-position model. The record is from RNAcentral.